Colossoma macropomum (tambaqui) is the source of this 2348-nucleotide long non-coding RNA. RefSeq lists it as uncharacterized. The record is from RefSeq and is a predicted model, not a curated record. NCBI's taxonomy places the organism in Eukaryota, Metazoa, Chordata, Actinopteri, Characiformes, Serrasalmidae. The transcript is spliced from 3 exons.
CUUGUUUUGAAAGCCUCUUUUGCAAAAACAGGCACCGUCAUGUUUCAAAACAUGCCUUCCGAAGGACAACAUACUGCAGAUUUUUGGUCUUUUAUGGCUCUUUUUGUGUGGAUUACUCAGUUUUUUUGGGGGAUUUUGCCCAUCGAUUGUGGAUUAUUGGAACUAGCAGGCAUUGCCUUUGAUGCAUAAUAAUAAGAGGACGCACGUGAUUUUACAGGCUGUCAGGAUUUGCUACAUCACACCGAGGAAAUGCUCCACCCAGGGAUGGAUUACUGACCAGGCCACUGGGGCCAGUACUGGGGCCUCAGAUGAGGAUGACGUCUGGCAUGUGGAAGGUCUUCAGAGCUCACCACUCAACACAUAACCAAAUCCCUAAAGUACUUCCCGUCAUCGCCGACACACGAGCCAGCUUUAUAUUGGUUUACCACAACAGUCAUUUUCAUGCGCUGCCUUUUACUUGAGUACAGCCACCUCUAGUUUUAAACAAAGGAAACAAAAAUACAUGUAAAUGUGUUCUGUCACUUGAAUCAACAAUAAAGCAGUAAUGAGCCAUUUUGUGUUCCUCCAUUUUGAGGCAGAUCUCACACACAGCGACGCUCCUCUAAACCACAAGAUGACUAGGCACCAACGGUGUGGUACACUGACUCUAAAUGUAAUCGGUAGCAAUCUUUUAGAUAGUUAUUGGUUCUAAAAUUGGCGUAUUGUUUUUAAACCAUCUGAAGAUAAGCUCUAAGUUUCCUCCUUUAAUUCAAAACCACAACAACUAUUACACACUUUAUGGGCACAAGUAAGAAUGAAUAGACUGAUUUACUGAUGCUGCCUAAUCAAAAACGUAAUCAUUAAAACAGCACACUAUAAAACUGUAAUCUUAACUAAAGCUUAAGUAACUUUGGGAGAAAUCUGCUGCAAAGAACACUAAAUGCAACGACUCUGUAACACAAAUAAAAGUCCCACGAUGACACAAAGCAAAGCAUGGAAAAAUUGAAGAAUGUAUGACGUGAAAAAGAUUCCUCUUGAAUUUUAAUCUCUCUCUUCUCAAAAGGUCAUGUAAGGCCAUUUUUCUUCCUUUCUUUAGCUAGAUUAUGUAUAAGCUAUUACAAUUCUGCUAUGACAUAAUCUCCAUGAUUAUGUGAUAAACACUCGGCACUAAUCCAGCAGAAACUGCUACAUCAGAUACCAAAGAGAAAUCAAAGAAUCUGUAACAAAUCAGUCCUGAAAUAGCUCUCACUCACACUGUGAUGUGGUGUUGUUAGCUGUGUAUUUUUGAGGUCAGUAGAGGGUUUUAGUAGUUCCAGCAUGAUGGCCUACUUUUAAAUGUUCAUCUUUACUGAAGUGCUUCAAUUCUGUGUUAUUUCGUCAGCAGUCUGGGCACAAAAAGACAGUCUAUCCUCAGAGAACGUGUAAUUCUCAGAGAAAAGCUUGUAGCCCUUGUCAAGCUUGCUGCUCUCCGAAAAGGAAAACUGCUUCAUCAAACAAAAAAUGUCUUUGGAGGACAAAAUUCAUAAAUACCUUAAUGAAUCUAAGCUGCUCUACAUCAGGCAUGUCAAACUGAGGACCUUCCAGACAAAAGUUAACGCCUACCCUCAUCCAACACUCUGAAUUCAGGCCAUUUAGGCCUCACUAGUUAGCUGACAAGCUGCACCAGGUGUGUUUAAUGAGGCAGUGUGUUGAAGUCUGCAGUGUUUUGGCCUGCGAGGACUGGAGCCUGACACAUGUGCUCUACAUUCUCAUUCAAAAACUCACCCAUUGUAAUGUUUUCCCUGCUAGGAUGACGUCUGGCAUGUGGAAGGUCUUCAGAGCUCACCACUCAACACAUAACCAAAUCCCUAAAGUACUUCCCGUCAUCGCCGACACACGAGCCAGCUUUAUAUUGGUUUACCACAACAGUCAUUUUCAUGCCCUGCCUUUUACUUGAGUACAGCCACCUCUAGUUUUAAACAAAGGAAACAAAAAUACAUGUAAAUGUGUUCUGUCACUUGAAUCAACAAUAAAGCAGUAAUGAGCCAUUUUGUGUUCCUCCAUUUUGAGGCAGAUCUCACACACAGCGACGCUCCUCUAAACCACAAGAUGACUAGGCACCAACGGUGUGGUACACUGACUCUAAAUGUAAUCGGUAGCAAUCUUUUAGAUAGUUAUUGGUUCUAAAAUUGGCGUAUUGUUUUUACACCAUCUGAAGAUAAGCUCUAAAUUUCCUCCUUUAAUUCAAAACCACAACGACUAUCACAGAAUUUAUGGGCACAAGUAAGAAUGAAUAGACUGAUUUACUGAUGCUGCCUAAUCAAAAACGUAAUCAUUAAAACAGCACACUAUAAAACUGUAAUCUUAACUAAAGCUUAAGUAACUUUGGG